This is a long non-coding RNA of Homo sapiens (human), 522 nucleotides long. Ensembl annotates it as DLGAP1 antisense RNA 5. Its record names the gene DLGAP1-AS5. Lineage: Eukaryota; Metazoa; Chordata; Mammalia; Primates; Hominidae. The record is from Ensembl.
ACUUGCUCUUUUUUCCUCCCAUUUUAGCAGCCAAGGAUGGGAAUUACACAGCGAAAUGCAGGCUAAUCAGCUAAAUCUAGAUUAAAUAUGCUAGUCCUUGGGGACCUUGAGCUGAAUUAAUGGAAACCGAGGUUUUUAAUGUUCCAGACUAAUUUUGGAAGCUCACUUCCAGCAGAGGCAAACUUGAGGCUGUCCAAAGGGAGCAGAUGGCAAGGCUUUCUCCAGGUGCACCAACCUUUGAAACAGCCCUCGGCAAAACCAUGAGGAAGGGAGGAGGCUCCAUGAUCUUACCUUCCCAAUUAUGAAGUAAGCAACGAUGACCUCUUAAACUCGUGAAUCUAACAGUGGUUGGGCAUAGAUAAUUGCUGUGAAAUACUUGAUGACUGAUUAGCUUUGAUAAAGAAUUCUGAGAUAAUUUUUAUGCUGUUGUUACUAAUCCCACCCUCAGCAUUCUUUCAAAAAUGAGAUUAUUUGUCUUUUUCUUCAUGGCCUUGGUGGAAAUAUAAAUUUCUUUUUAACCCU